This 20-nucleotide small RNA is filed under the name Arabidopsis thaliana (thale cress). RNAcentral's name for it is "Ath_wt_07903". Lineage: Eukaryota; Viridiplantae; Streptophyta; Magnoliopsida; Brassicales; Brassicaceae. The record is from RNAcentral.
CCGCUCACGCCCGGUCGUAC